Pogona vitticeps (central bearded dragon) is the source of this 118-nucleotide non-coding RNA. Lineage: Eukaryota; Metazoa; Chordata; Lepidosauria; Squamata; Agamidae. The record is from RefSeq and is a predicted model, not a curated record.
AAACAAUUAAAAUGCAAUUAAAAUAGAUUGAGAGUGUGUGGAACUUAGAAUUAAGUGGGAAGCUUGUCCAUUGAAAUAAUCUGCCUGUCCUUCAGAAGACGGUGCCUGGCCAAAAAAA